RNAcentral lists this unclassified non-coding RNA (82 nucleotides) under Chryseobacterium ureilyticum. RNAcentral describes it as "Flavo-1 RNA". The record is from RNAcentral. Lineage: Bacteria; Pseudomonadati; Bacteroidota; Flavobacteriia; Flavobacteriales; Weeksellaceae.
UAUAAAUCCAGAUGGCGGUGGAUGUACUUUUACAACUGGGUAUAGUGUUGAAAAUAUACAUGAAUCCACAGCAGCAUUUGGC